RNAcentral lists this ribosomal RNA (434 nucleotides) under uncultured bacterium. Its description in RNAcentral is "bacterial SSU rRNA". It matches the Rfam family "Bacterial small subunit ribosomal RNA", at positions 355 to 787 of the family's 1533-position model. The record is from RNAcentral.
UGAGGAAUAUUGGUCAAUGGGCGGGAGCCUGAACCAGCCAAGCCGCGUGAGGGAAGAAGGCCCUAUGGGUCGUAAACCUCUUUUGUCAGGGAACAAAAGCGAGUAUGUAUACUAGUCUGAGUGUACCUGAAGAAAAAGCAUCGGCUAACUCCGUGCCAGCAGCCGCGGUAAUACGGAGGAUGCGAGCGUUAUCCGGAUUUAUUGGGUUUAAAGGGUGCGUAGGCGGCGAUGCAAGUCAGCGGUAAAAGCCCGGGGCUCAACCCCGGCGAGCCGUUGAAACUGCAGUGCUAGAGAAGGCGAGAGGUACGCGGAAUGCGCAGUGUAGCGGUGAAAUGCUUAGAUAUUGCGCAGAACUCCGAUUGCGAAGGCAGCGUACUGGCGCCUGACUGACGCUGAGGCUCGAAAGUAUGGGUAGCAAACAGGAUUAGAUACCC